Phascolarctos cinereus (koala) is the source of this 875-nucleotide long non-coding RNA. RefSeq lists it as uncharacterized. NCBI's taxonomy places the organism in Eukaryota, Metazoa, Chordata, Mammalia, Diprotodontia, Phascolarctidae. The record is from RefSeq and is a predicted model, not a curated record.
CCCCAGCCAGGACCAGAGUGAGAGAGCAAGAGACAAGAUCCCAGGCAGCAGGGAACUCAAGAUGACAAGCCUCUGUAGAUGGCCUCUGUCCGUGGUGGUGUGCCUGCUGCUGAUGUUGGCAGGCUGGGGAGCUUGUGCAGUAAUGCAGAUUCCAGACUAUCCCGGGGAAGAAGCCAACAUUGAGCAGAUGGAAGACUUCCUGUUCAAUCUUGGCAAAGAAUUGGAGGCUAUCAACAUGUCCCCUUACCGAAGGAGGAGACGCUAGGAGAUCAUGAAACAUUUCCGCAGAUUGUUGCUUCAGAGCCUUGGGCCAGGCUCCAAAUUCUAUUCUCUCCCAGGACCAAGAUUCUAAAGUGAGAUGAAUCAAGUGGAUCCCAAAGGCUGCAACAGUGUGGGGAUGGAUGGGGGGUGGGGAGGUCCUCACAGCCUACAGCAUAGAGAUUGAAUUACAAUGUUAAAAAAAAAAUGCUUAAAAAAGAAAGUGAGAUGCCACUCUGAAUUCCCCCUCUGGCUCCUGAGACUACUGAAUGAGGAUACUUAAUAUUUAGGCUUCCCAGACUAUCACCACCAGUGGCAAUGUCCUCUUGUCCUCUCAAAAGCCCUGUACCCCCCCCACACACACAUACACAUAUGCAUACACACAUAUACACAUGUAACUUCUUCAUUUCAAAUAUUGCAUUCUCCUCUGCUCUUCCCCCAAAUUUUCUGGUAUGAAAUAUAGCUUUUUGGAAACAGUACCAGAUAGAGUGUCUAGAGACCUCUAGCCCUUAGUAACCAUGUGAUCCUUUGCAAAGCACAUCCAUCACCCUGGUCUCCAGUUUCCUAAUCUGUAAAAUGGGGAUAUUAAUAUUUGUUCCACCUUCUAUACAAGACUG